This 583-nucleotide long non-coding RNA is filed under the name Homo sapiens (human). Its description in RNAcentral is "non-protein coding lnc-CTDSP2-2:4". Lineage: Eukaryota; Metazoa; Chordata; Mammalia; Primates; Hominidae. The record is from RNAcentral.
GGGUUGUGGUUGCUGGCUGUUACCAGGACAACCGGAGGCGAUUGACCGUUAUCUGCGGUUUGGAGCCGUUAGCGGGAGAGGCAGAGAUAUUCAGAGGUCUUUUAGGAUGCGCUAAAGGGUCGUGAGGGCUCUCUUAAAAUUUUCUUCACAAGCGGUUAUCCAGUCGUGCCCCGCGGCCCUGCUGCUGGCCCCGGGGAUCUGAGUCGUACCCUCUUGUUUUUCUCUGAGUCAGUCUUAAGGUGAAAUGAAGUGUGGCCCAGUGGCUCCUCACUGUCGCUUCUCUAGUUUUCUGCCUCCUUUUAGAAAAGUGAAUUGAAAAGACAGGAUGAAGUGGACACAGCAUGUGAAGACAAUUCUUUCAAGAAGUUUGGCUGUCAAGGAAAACAGAGAAUGUGCUAAAGAACAUACAGACACAGAGCAGACAGGCCACCUUUGCAACCACAUGGAGGUUUGUCUGAUAUUGAAGCUAAAGAAGCUAAGCUGGAAGACAGAGAGACCAAGUCCUGAUGACAUUGUUUGAACCCAGAGAUCCAGACAUGCCUGAAAACUAGUUUUACCACUGGACUUAUCCGUUGAAUGAGCC